Molecule: RNA transcript, 940 nt
Organism: Phalaenopsis equestris
Lineage: Eukaryota; Viridiplantae; Streptophyta; Magnoliopsida; Asparagales; Orchidaceae
Gene name: protein kinase and PP2C-like domain-containing protein
Exons: 5
Source: RefSeq, a predicted model, not a curated record
UUUUCUCGCAUUAUCUCACGAAAUUUGAUGCAGGAGCAUCUUGCAAGCUGUCCUGAGGAAAGGACACGUGUUAUGAAUGAAGGCAUGGAAGUGACGUGGCAAGUGGAUACGUGGAGGGUUGGCCCUGCUGCACUUCAGGUUACACGAUCAAUUGGUGAUGAUGACUUGAAGCCUGCUGUGACUGCGGAGCCUGAGAUUAUAGAAACUUCUUUGUCUGAAGUUGAUGAGUUCUUGGUGAUGGCUAGUGAUGGACUGUGGGAUGUUAUGAGCAAUAAAGAAGUGAUAUCCAUUAUUAGAGAUACUGUGAAGGAGCCAACACUGUGUUCCAAGAGAUUGGUGACUGAAGCUGCUGCACGUGGCAGCAAAGAUAAUAUUACAGUCAUUGUCGUCUUCCUCCGGCCUGUAUCCACGGCUGAAAGAGUUUAUUAGCUCAUCAAACAGGUUAACUUUUUAAAAUAUAUCUAUGUGUUUCUUCACAUAAUACCACAAUGUCUAAGACAAGUGAAGGUGGUCCCUCAGCGAUGUGAGAUAAGGAGGUUAUAAUUAUUUUUUGCUAACUCUGCAUCACCGAGAUUAAGAUCGGGAAUAGUCCGACCACCUAUUUCAACAAGGAAGGUUGACAUAACAUAUCAAAGAAGUUUAAAAAAUUAACUGGAAGAGAUUAUGACAGACUGAAGUUUAAAAAUAAAUGGGAUCAUUUGAAGGAGUGGAAAAUUUGGAAGGAGCGGAAAAUUUGAAAGGAGCGGAAAAUUUGGAAGGAGCUGAAACGUGGAUCCACAGGUUUGGGGUGGGAUCCAAUCAAAUGGACAAUUGAUGCUCCUGAGGAAUGGUGGGCCGAUAAAUUAGAGUUAAACAAACAUGAUUUCUAGGAUAUCAGUUACAGACAGAGGUCUUUUGUGUUAUUGUGGUCUACCGGCUCCAUUUCUCACGUCGCGUCAUU